UUCACAGGCAUUUCAGUGACUACAACAGUGAGUAUUUAGGCAAUACAUAAUUAUGAAUGUUAAAUAUAUGAGAGUCAAGAGCGUUAAAUAUAUGAGGGCCAAGUGGUCCUCUUGCCCACAUUAGGAUGGUGUGGGGGACAAUAGCUGUCUUCCCGUAAGUAAGUGAAAAGUUGUGAAGUAGAAAAAUAUAGCUCAGUAUGGCUCAAUACGGUGCAUCAGGAAGGGAUGGUAGAAAUGUGUAAAAACCAUGGUAAUUGAGAGUCUAUGAUUUGACUUUGGAUUUUUAUUUACUUAUAACAGUGAAUAGAGUUAUAAGAAAUAUCCUAUCUAUAUUUUGUAGUAGUGACAUUUGCUUUAUGCUUCUGGAAGCAAAGCACAAGUCAUGCCCUGUUUCCAUCAUGAUGAAGCACCUUGUACCCUAAGACAGCGUUACCCUGUCAAUUUCUGGUCCCAAAAUAAUGAAACAUUGAAUAUUUCUUAUAUUCCCAGAUCCCCAGCAAACACCAUUUUAUUCUUGACUUUUAUUUAGCUCAUGUUGCAAGAUCUUUCUGGAUGUGAUCAUCGUGUGAUAAAAGAUUUUGUUUUUUCUCCAUGAACAAAUUAAUGCAAACUUAGUAAUCAUGGUAAUCUUCUUUAUAUUUUUCUUUAAAUACCUGUUAUAUUUUUCACUUGCGUAUCCAGUUUUUCUGAAGUCUGACUCCCUUGAGCCUUUGCAAGUAAACUCUUUUUCUUUUCAAAAUGCUUUGGCUCUGACUCUUCCUUUGAAAUUUUUGGGGGAAAAAAUGUUCUCUGAUCUUAAAAGGGUUUGUAAGAAAACAUGAAAAGCCUCUCACUGUUUGUUGUUGAUGUUUCAUUAAUUUGUUGCUCUGUUUGGCAUUGUCAAUUUAAAAUAAAUUUCUAUGCCUCUUUCAGCAAUCAAA
This 920-nucleotide long non-coding RNA is filed under the name Pongo abelii (Sumatran orangutan). RNAcentral describes it as "lincRNA". The record is from RNAcentral. Lineage: Eukaryota; Metazoa; Chordata; Mammalia; Primates; Hominidae.